RNAcentral lists this ribosomal RNA (432 nucleotides) under uncultured bacterium. RNAcentral's name for it is "partial 16S ribosomal RNA". It matches the Rfam family "Bacterial small subunit ribosomal RNA", at positions 28 to 507 of the family's 1533-position model. The record is from RNAcentral.
GAUGAACGCUGGCGGUAUGCUUAACACAUGCAAGUCGAACGGUCACUUCGGUGAUAGUGGCGGACGGGUGAGUAACGCGUGAGAAUCUGUCUUCAGGUCGGGGACAACAGUUAGAAAUGACUGCUAAUACCGGAUGUGCCUUUGGGUGAAAGAUUUAUUGCCUGAAAAAGAGCUCGCGUCAGAUUAGCUAGUAGGUGGUGUAAGAGACUACCUAGGCUCCGAUCUGUAGCUGGUCUGAGAGGACGAGCAGCCACACUGGAGCUGGGACACGGUCCAGACUCCUACGGGAGGCAGGAGUGGGGGAUUGACCGAAAUGGGGGGAGGGCUGACGGAGCAAGACCGGGUGAGGGACGUAGUCUGUUGGGUCGUAAACCUCUUUUCUCAAGGAAGAUGAUGACGGUACUUGAGGAAUAAGCAUCGGCUAACUCUGUG